Long non-coding RNA from Malaclemys terrapin pileata, 1788 nucleotides. RefSeq lists it as uncharacterized. The transcript is spliced from 3 exons. The record is from RefSeq and is a predicted model, not a curated record. NCBI's taxonomy places the organism in Eukaryota, Metazoa, Chordata, Testudines, Emydidae.
CAAGGGUAGCAGGAAUAACAUUCUUUUCUGUACAAGACCUGGUGCAACCAUAGGACCCUGGUUGCAACAAUAUACUCACAGUUCAUGUCAAUUAUGUCAUACCCGGUAUCAAGGAGUGGGAACUCUGGAGUCUCAGCCACCAUGAGAUCUCUGGAAAAACGAAACUCCUGCAGUACCACGGUGAUCAGUACCGUCAGAGCUUGUCGGUGCUGACUCGCUGGCCCUGAGGAAAUCAGCAGAGAUCUUGCCCAAGAUGGUCAGUCCGAGAAGGGUUGCUUGGAAGUAGUUGUUACCGAGGAUUACCAUACUGGUACCAGGGUCUGCGCUCUUGCCUUUGACAGGAGCUAGCCUUCAGCUGCUGGCAGAAAGUACACCUCUGUGGAAGGGAGCUUCUCUGAGGCACCAGAUGCAGUGGCAUGUCCAUCCAUAACCGGUAUUUUCUUCCUGAAGGACAGGAUGGAUCCCUGGCUCACAGCCUGUCUCCGUGGAGUCACCAUGCCCCACAUGCCAGAGGCAGUUGCUCGCGACACGCAGCAAUAGCUGCUGACCCUAAUUCAGUGAGUAGCGCUUGGUGAGUGGAGUCCAGUGCCAGGAACCUCAAGUCCCCGAUGGAGCCCAGGAACCCUUCACUGGAUCCACGCGCGGAACCAAGCCAGGGAUGGCGUCCCCACAGCCACCUGAGUAUGAAUCAGGCUCAGUGCCCUCCAGGGGGAAAGGCCCCAUCUCCUGUCCCUCCAACUUUGCGGCCCCCUAACCCAGCACAGUGGCCUGGAGCAAAUGGUUCCUAGGGUAAACAGACUGCACUCCCCACACCUCCCCGUCUCCAUCAGCCCCUCAAUCCUCGACAUCCCAGCCUUUGACCUUAGAACACCAGUUUUGAUGCCUUGGUCAAGGUCCCGAGAGACCAUGUGACGAAGUUUGGGAUUUUUGUAGUGUUUUCCAUUAAUAGCGUGUGCACUCCUCAGUUUCCCUGUGUGCUGUAUGUUUAACAAGGUGGUGGGAGAGGGUUUGUUGUUGCAGAGGAUCAGGUGUGACCUUGCCUGGCAGCUGGGACCCCCAAACAAUAGCCUGGAGAAGGGGAACCCUAACAACUGGUGACCUGGAGACUAAGAGGCCCACCCCAGCUUGGCCAGUGAGAGCACAAAGGGCUGAAGAGAGAGGACCCUGGUGACCUGAUCAACCAGUUCCAGCCAGAGGGGAACAAAGUACUGAAGAGAGAGGGCCCCAGCGGUCUCUUUACCUGGGAUGGAAGACAAAGGACAGGGGAGGAGCUGUUGGGGCCGGUGAUAUCAGAUGCCCAGCUGAAAAGCUCAGGUUCUCUGGACUGGAGAGAGUGAGCAGGCAGAGCCCACCUGGGUGCAUAGGCAUGCGCACGGGGUGUGCUGUGUGUGCCCCGGCACACCCUAAUGUCCUGAGCUCCGGCUGGGAAGGCUGCUCCUUCCCCCUCCCCUCCUCAGCUGUUUGCCAGGCAGACUCAAAUCAACUGCUUUCUGCCUCCCUGCAGGGGCCGAGUGAGUCUCACACACACACACAAAAAGCCUUAGGUUAGGUGUGGGUGGGAGUGCGGGGCUACCAGUAGCAGCACAGCCAGCCCCUGCUUACCUAGGGCUGCCCCGCACUUCUUGGGCUGGUGGCCAUGGUGUCCACGUGUAUGGCUGCUCCCUGCUAGCCAGGCUCCAUUCCGGCCACAGCAGGCAGCAGGUGACCCAAGGGAGCCCAGCGAGGCUAGGGCUGGGUGCAGUGGGAGAAGCUCCAGAUACCGGCAGGGGCCAUGCGGGGGUGGGGGAA